UUCUGCCCCCUACGACACUGACGAUGCUUCUCACAGUCAGUUCGUCAGUGACUGCUGCUGGAACAAGUCAUUUUUGUGUUCUCUCUUCUCUGCUUUUAUUGCCGGUUUGAAAGUUUACAUCGCACUUGUAUACUUCACGAUUAUUUUGUUCCCCAGCUUUUCACUCAAAUCUGACGUACACACACACACACACACACACACACACACACAUAUGUAUGCGUGUGUCUGCCCGUCUGUUGAAUGUGACUUGUUUUGGGCAGCCUAUCGUCCGAGGAAUUCCGUUGCUGGCGAAGAACGCGAUGAUAAUAUGCAUGUUGAUAUUCUGGAGGCUGAGCCCAUCAUGACCAGUAGAUACUCGGCCGUUGCUGGGGAAGAAAGCGAUGAUGAAGACGCUGAUGAUGAUAAUAAUUAUGGUGCAAUUAUAAGUUCAACAUCUGAGCCGGUUCUGCCCCCUACGACACUGACAUGGCUUCUCACAGUCAGUUUGUCAGUGACUGUUGCUGGAACAAGUCGUUUUUCUGUUCUCUUUCCUCUGCUUUUAUUACCGGUUUGACCUUUUUCAUCACACUUGCAUACUUCACGAUUGUU
Molecule: long non-coding RNA, 588 nt
Organism: Sycon ciliatum
Lineage: Eukaryota; Metazoa; Porifera; Calcarea; Leucosolenida; Sycettidae
Exons: 3
Source: RefSeq, a predicted model, not a curated record